RNAcentral lists this ribosomal RNA (438 nucleotides) under uncultured bacterium. RNAcentral describes it as "partial 16S ribosomal RNA". It matches the Rfam family "Bacterial small subunit ribosomal RNA", at positions 339 to 795 of the family's 1533-position model. The record is from RNAcentral.
CUACGGGCCGCUCCAGUGGGGAAUAUUGCACAAUGGGGGAAACCCUGAUGCAGCGAUGCCGCGUGAACGAAGAAGGCUUUCGAGUCGUAAAGUUCUGUUCUUAGGGAAGAAAAUGACGGUACCUAAGGAGAAAGCACCGGCUAAAUACGUGCCAGCAGCCGCGGUAAUACGUAUGGUGCAAGCGUUGUCCGGAACUACUGGGCGUAAAGAGUUCGUAGGCGGUCAAAUAAGUCAGAAGUGAAAGGCUACGGCUCAACCGUAGUAAGCUUUUGAAACUGUUUGACUUGAGUACUGGAGAGGAAAGUGGAAUUCCUAGUGUAGCGGUGAAAUGCGUAGAUAUUAGGAGGAACACCAGUGGCGAAGGCGGCUUUCUGGACAGUAACUGACGCUGAGGAACGAAAGCGUGGGGAGCAAACAGGAUUAGAUACCCGCGUAGUC